This 636-nucleotide ribosomal RNA is filed under the name Sphingomonas aquatilis. RNAcentral describes it as "bacterial SSU rRNA". It matches the Rfam family "Bacterial small subunit ribosomal RNA", at positions 10 to 696 of the family's 1533-position model. The record is from RNAcentral. Lineage: Bacteria; Pseudomonadati; Pseudomonadota; Alphaproteobacteria; Sphingomonadales; Sphingomonadaceae.
GGUUUUCCUGGCUCAGAACGAACGCUGGCGGCAUGCCUAACACAUGCAAGUCGAACGAGAUCUUCGGGUCUAGUGGCGCACGGGUGCGUAACGCGUGGGAAUCUGCCCUUUGGUUCGGAAUAACAGUUGGAAACGACUGCUAAUACCGGAUGAUGACGAAAGUCCAAAGAUUUAUCGCCAGAGGAUGAGCCCGCGUAGGAUUAGCUAGUUGGUGUGGUAAAGGCGCACCAAGGCGACGAUCCUUAGCUGGUCUGAGAGGAUGAUCAGCCACACUGGGACUGAGACACGGCCCAGACUCCUACGGGAGGCAGCAGUGGGGAAUAUUGGACAAUGGGCGAAAGCCUGAUCCAGCAAUGCCGCGUGAGUGAUGAAGGCCUUAGGGUUGUAAAGCUCUUUUACCCGGGAUGAUAAUGACAGUACCGGGAGAAUAAGCUCCGGCUAACUCCGUGCCAGCAGCCGCGGUAAUACGGAGGGAGCUAGCGUUGUUCGGAAUUACUGGGCGUAAAGCGCACGUAGGCGGCUUUGUAAGUUAGAGGUGAAAGCCUGGAGCUCAACUCCAGAACUGCCUUUAAGACUGCAUCGCUUGAAUCCAGGAGAGGUGAGUGGAAUUCCGAGUGUAGAGGUGAAAUUGUGAUA